CCAGUAGUGCCACAUCCUCUCCAACACUUGUUGCUUGUUGUCUUGGUAAUUAUAGCCAUUCUAACAGGUGUAAGGUGAUAUCUCAUUGUAGUUCUGAUUUGCAUUUCCCUAAUGAUUCAUGAUGUUAAACAUCUUUCCAUGUGCCUCUUGCCCAUCCGUAUAUCUUCUCUGGAGAAACAUCUGUUCGUAUCUUCUGCCCAUUUCUUGAUCAGGUUGUUUGAUUUUUUGUUGUUGAGUUGUAUGAGUUCUUUCUAUAUUCUGGGGGAGAUUAACCCCAUGUUGGAUAUACAAUUUGCAAAUAUUUUCUCCCAGUUGGUGGGUUGUCUUUUCAUUUUGUUCCUAAUUUCCUUUGCCCGGUAGAAGGUAUUUAGCCUGAUGUAAUCCCAUUUAUUUAUUUUUUCUGUUGUUUCCCUUGCCUGAGUAGACAUGGUAUUCAAAAAGAUGCUUCUAAGUCUGAUGUCAGUGUACUGCCCAUAUCUUCUUCUAGUAGUUUUAUGGUUUCACACCUAACCUUCAAUCCUUAAUCCAUUUUGAGUUAAUUUUUGUGUACGGCAAAAGAUAACAAUCUACUUUCGUUCUUUUGCAUGUGGUGGUCUAUUUUUCCAAACACCAUUUAUUGAGGAGACUUUCCUUUCUCCAUUAUAUAUUCUUGGCUCCUUUGUCAAAGAUUAGCUGUCCAUAGACGUGUGGUUUUAUUUCUGGGCUCUCAAUUCUGUUCCAUUGAUCUAUGUGUCUGUUUUAGUACCAUUAUGAUGCUGUUUUGGUUACUGUAGCUUUGUAGUAUAUUUUGAAGUCAGGGAUUGUGAUGCCUCCAGCUUUCUUAUUUUUUUCUCAGGAUUGCGUUAGCUAUUUGGGAUCUUUUCUUGCCCCAAAUGAAUUUUAGGAUUCUUUGUUCUAUUUCUGUGAAGAACGUCAUUGGGAUUGUGAUUGGGAUUGCAUUGAAUCUGUAGAUGGUUUUAGGUACUAUGAACAUUUUAUCUAUGUUUAAUCUUUCAAUCCAUGUGUACGGACUAUUUUUCCAUUUCUUUAUGAUAUCCUUUAUUUCUUUCAACAAUGUCCUAUAUGCUUCAUUGUAUGGGUCUUUCACCUCCUUGGUUAAAUUUAUUCUUAGAUAUUCUUUUCUUUUUGUUGCAAUUGUAUAUGGGAUUUCUCUUAGUUCAUUAUGAGAGUAUAGAAAUGCAACUGGUUUUCUAAGUUGAUA
RNAcentral lists this long non-coding RNA (1201 nucleotides) under Equus caballus (horse). RNAcentral's name for it is "lncRNA (ENSECAG00000052619.1)". Lineage: Eukaryota; Metazoa; Chordata; Mammalia; Perissodactyla; Equidae. The record is from RNAcentral.